AUUGAACGCUAGCGGGAUGCUUUACACAUGCAAGCCGAACGGAGUGGCGGACGGGUGAGUAAUAUACCGGAACGUGCCCAGUAGCGGGGGAUAACUACUCGAAAGAGUGGCUAAUACCGCACACUAUUGUAUCGGCCGAUAUCGGAUUGGCUAGCUGGUGGGGUAAAGGCUCACCAAGGACACGAUCCGUAGCUGGUUUGAGAGGACGACCAGCCGCAGUGGGGAUGGGACGCGGCCCAGAGUCCUGCGAGAGGCAGCAGUGGGGGAUUUUGGACAAUGGGAGAAUCCCUGAUACGGCCAUCCCGCGUGUAUGAUGAAGGCCUUCGGGUUGUAAAGUGUUUUUGGCAGGGAAGCGGUGUCAGCAGAAUAGGCACCGGCUAACUACGUGCCAGCAGCCGCGGUAAUAC
RNAcentral lists this ribosomal RNA (407 nucleotides) under uncultured bacterium. RNAcentral's name for it is "partial 16S ribosomal RNA". It matches the Rfam family "Bacterial small subunit ribosomal RNA", at positions 30 to 526 of the family's 1533-position model. The record is from RNAcentral.